This 446-nucleotide long non-coding RNA is filed under the name Panax ginseng (ginseng). RNAcentral describes it as "long non-coding RNA (PGIN_LNC012216)". The record is from RNAcentral. Lineage: Eukaryota; Viridiplantae; Streptophyta; Magnoliopsida; Apiales; Araliaceae.
UCCGGGGUCGGUAGUUAACGUUAUGUCGUUCCGUACUCUCGCCUACCUAGGCAUUCCGCCCAGGAAAUCCACACCAAGACUAUAAUCCAAGGGUACAAUGCUAAAGCACAAAAGGCUCUUGGGAAAGUUUUGAGUGAAAUCCCCCGGCAAAGUCCUUACUUAACUUACCUGGCUCCAGGGAAAGACAUUCUUUAGGGAACGGCCCCAAGCCAAGUGGCAUCGCGAUUUAGCUGUUGUCGAAAGGGAAGAUAGUUCUUUGAUCCGAAGCAGUUCUUGCUCAAGUUGAACCAGCUGUGAAAUAAGCGAUUGUUCAUGUUCACGAGUCAGCUCUUCUCGCUUUGCUCUUGAUGCGGCAUAACCGGUCUUAGCGAGAUCUGCUGCUAUAGAAUCAAUUGCAGUUAGCUCUAUUCCCUGACCUCGGGGAGAUGCUUCUUUCUUAUAAUAAC